Molecule: ribosomal RNA, 484 nt
Filed under: uncultured bacterium
Lineage: Bacteria
Description: partial 16S ribosomal RNA
Rfam family: Bacterial small subunit ribosomal RNA
Source: RNAcentral
GACGAACGCUGGCGGCGUGCUUAACACAUGCAAGUCGAACGAUGAACCCGGAGCUUGCUCCGGUGGAUUAGUGGCGAACGGGUGAGUAACACGUGAGUAACCUGCCCUUGACUCUGGGAUAACUGCGGGAAACUGUAGCUAAUACCGGAUACGACCCUCGGCGGCAUCGCCAGGGGGUGGAAAGAAUUUCGGGCAAGGAUGGACUCGCGGCCUAUCAGCUAGUUGGUGGGGUAACGGCUCACCAAGGCGACGACGGGUAGCCGGCCUGGGAGGGUGACCGGCCACACUGGGACUGAGACACGGCCCAGACUCCUACGGGAGGCAGCAGUGGGGAAUAUUGCACAAUGGGCGCAAGCCUGAUGCAGCGACGCCGCGUGAGGGAUGACGGCCUUCGGGUUGUAAACCUCUUUUAGUAGGGAAGAAGCGAAAGUGACGGUACCUGCAGAAAAAGCACCGGCUAACUACGUGCCAGCCGCCGCCGUAA